Danio aesculapii is the source of this 838-nucleotide long non-coding RNA. RefSeq lists it as uncharacterized. The record is from RefSeq and is a predicted model, not a curated record. Lineage: Eukaryota; Metazoa; Chordata; Actinopteri; Cypriniformes; Danionidae. The transcript has 4 exons.
CAGAAUAAUUUCAUGGGCGACGGCUUUGGACCAAGAGCUAAGCAGAAAAUAGCAAAGGCCCGUUGGCAGAGGUGCCUAUAGGACGUGGAAAGGAGAAGAAAGCUAAUCAAAAUAGCUUUGUCAGCAUUUGGAAAGCGGAAUCUUGUAUCCUCAUCGGCCAGAUAAACAUUCGUCACACUGUGGGAUUUCAACGCAGACAGUUUGACGUCGAUUACGUUGAAGAUCUCCAGAUCCUGUCUAAAAUAGGAUCAAACUCUUCCUCCAGAUAUGAUGGCAAUGUCAGUUUGCUGACUGCUGCAGCCGUUGUCAUUGUCAUCGUUGUAUGUUUGCUGUGGGGGAGGAACAGAAAGAAAGGCCUUCACUCCCUCAUUCCAUGCAAGUAACCUUUCAACUCCACACAGUCUUGAAGCAACAACAAGCAGGACUUUAGUGCACCGGCAGAGAGGACGGAGAAACAGACGAGGAGGAAAGGGCAGGAGUUCCUAGAGAGGCUGUGUCUCUGGAAUGCCUGGCUCAGGAUGCAGCCGCUGAGCAGUACACUCCUUUCAGGAGCCAAGGGGAGGCGUGAUUGGCUACUAGCCUCUACUGGGUGGAGCUGUAGGAGGGAUAUUACCUAUUCAUUGGCACUUUCUGCGAGGCCCCUCCCACCUCACUGACGCUCUGCCCUUGGCCCCUGUUAUCUGCCUGUGUUUCUGGGAAUGCUGUUGUUGCAUCAGGGGGGCAGGGUUGGAGAUGGCCGAACUCAGGGGCUGAGGUCAGGGUCAAAAUUCAAGGGUCAACACAACUCAGAAGCUGCAGGGGUGGAUGUGGAUGGGCCUGUAGCCAAGCUGCAGGCACC